UUGCCUCUUGGACUGGGACAACUGUUGGAAACGACAGCUAAUACCGGAUAUUAUGAGAUUCUCGCAUGAGAAAUUUAUGAAAGCUAUAUGCGCCAAGAGAGAGCCUUGCGUUCCAUUAGCUAGUUGGUGGGGUAACGGCCCACCAAGGCGACGAUGGAUAGCCGGCCUGAGAGGGUGAACGGCCACAAGGGGACUGAGACACGGCCCUUACUCCUACGGGAGGCAGCAGUGGGGAAUAUUGGACAAUGGGCCACAAGCCUGAUCCAGCAAUUCUGUGUGCACGAUGAAGGUCUUCGGAUUGUAAAGUGCUUUCAGUUGGGAAGAAGAAAGUGACGGUACCAACAGAAGAAGCGACGGCUAAAUACGUGCCAGCAGCCGCGGUAAUACGUAUGUCGCAAGCGUUAUCCGGAUUUAUUGGGCGUAAAGCGCGUCUAGGCGGAAAAAUAAGUCUGAUGUUAAAAUGCGGGGCUCAACUCCGUAUUGCGUUGGAAACUGUUUUUCUAGAGUACUGGAGAGGUGGGCGGAACUACAAGUGUAGAGGUGAAAUUCGUAGAUAUUUGUAGGAAUGCCGAUGGAGAAGUCAGCUCACUGGACAGAUACUGACGCUGAAGCGCGAA
RNAcentral lists this ribosomal RNA (617 nucleotides) under uncultured bacterium. RNAcentral describes it as "bacterial SSU rRNA". It matches the Rfam family "Bacterial small subunit ribosomal RNA", at positions 126 to 757 of the family's 1533-position model. The record is from RNAcentral.